Molecule: non-coding RNA, 29 nt
Filed under: Homo sapiens (human)
Lineage: Eukaryota; Metazoa; Chordata; Mammalia; Primates; Hominidae
Source: RNAcentral
UGCCUUGACAACUGAUUGGGGAACAAGGA